UGCGCAGGCGGGCUUGUAAGUCAGUGGUGAAAUUUUGCGGCUUAACCGUAAAACUGCCAUUGAUACUGCAAGUCUUGAAUAUGGUUGAGGUAGGCGGAAUGUGUUGUGUAGCGGUGAAAUGCAUAGAUAUGACACAGAACGCCGAUUGCGAAGGCAGCUUACUAAGCCAUGAUUGACGCUGAGGCACGAAAGCGUGGGGAGCGAACAGGAUUAGAUACCCUGGUAGUCC
RNAcentral lists this ribosomal RNA (229 nucleotides) under uncultured bacterium. RNAcentral describes it as "partial 16S ribosomal RNA". It matches the Rfam family "Bacterial small subunit ribosomal RNA", at positions 568 to 796 of the family's 1533-position model. The record is from RNAcentral.